RNA transcript from Lutzomyia longipalpis, 2193 nucleotides. RefSeq lists it as uncharacterized. The record is from RefSeq and is a predicted model, not a curated record. The transcript is spliced from 4 exons. Lineage: Eukaryota; Metazoa; Arthropoda; Insecta; Diptera; Psychodidae.
ACAGUGUUUGCGCGAUGUUGGUUAGAGAAGGAGUGCGAUUCGUUGCUGUAGCUUCAUUAUGACUUCUCAACAUUUUCCACUCACUAUCGAUUGAACAUUGAUUGUGUGAGCCAAUUGACAGUGAUAUUGAUGUUGGAUUGCAAAAGUUUUGAAUGAGUUGAGUCAAUUUUGUUCAUUAAAUUUCACAUCGUUAAUUGUGAGGUCUGUGAGGUGAACAAAGAACAACGAAUUUUUCUGUGUGGACUUUUCAAAUUGCGUUCACCAUUGGAAUCCAUGACAAAAAGCCAUUCCACUUGUGACUGUAUUCGUGACUUUGGAGUAUUGUUUUUUUUUUUACUUUGGUGCACAGAACUUGGGCUAGAAACUUACCUGGUUUAGCUCGCCUCACAUUUUCUGAGGAUCUGGCACUGGGCCGACUUCCAAAUGGUGGGAACCAUGUACAAAAUUCCUACAAUUUAAUAGUAUACUGUUUAGCAUUGUGAAAUAAUCUUAUCCAAGUGACACAGAAAAAAAGCACGACACCGUCUGGACACGGUGUGUGUUGUGUUCAAAAGUGUGAAAUGUGAAAAAGGUACAUUUUUUCACUUUCAGACUUUUUGUGCUUUAGUUUUUUAAUUGUUAUUCAAAAGUUGCAUCCCCCAAAAUGGAACAAACUCUUUAAGUGUUGUGUUACAGUUCUGUAGAAAAGAAAACCUUCUUCACCUUUGACAAAUCUUAAAUGACUGAAAGUAUCCCUGGUGAUCGUAUCGUUGGUCCUGCUUCAUUAUGACUUGGCACUGGUGGAGUCAUUGGUUCUGGAUUACAUUAACCCUUGGGACGGUCUUACAUGCCCUACCCAUGAGCUCUGUUACAAGUGACACACACUUGGGGCAGCUCAAGAUACUCGAGGCACGUGAGAAGAUUUACAGCAAACGAGAGCCCCUCAAGUUUCCAAUUGCAGCUCAAACAGAUGGGGAUGAUGAGGUGUUUGGUGUGGAUAGAGCAUUUGCUGCUGUCGAAGUUUCCGAUGGUGGACGUCUCAAUUGGAUUUCUUCGCAUCAUUCCGAAAAGGAGAAGUCAAUUAAGCGUACAGAAAAUUCUACAUUUGAGAUAAGCUUGAUAGACAACAAUUUCACCCACUCGGAUGCCAAUCUUCACCGAAAGGCCAACAUCACAGAUAAGAAUCCAGUAGAUAUGUCGAACAAAACUUAUGAGGAUCAAGCACGAAAUUCAACAGAGUUUGUUGAAGCCGAAAGACAGCCAGAUCAGACGGAGGAAAAUAAAACGGAGAGUGAUACUGUACGUCCUGAAAUCAGUGUAAUUCAGAAUGAUACAGUAGAUAUGGAAGUAGAGCUGCAAGAGAACGAUACAAUCGAGGUGGAUCGUCAAGGGCGAAAGUCCAAGGUGCUCACUGAGUAUACCGAUGAUCUCAGGAUAGCUAAUCUGACGACGGAAACAAAAAAUUUACUUGCGCGAUCCGCUGCAUCCUCUGUGACUUCCGUUAAUGAUGAUGAAUUGGGCAGCGAAUUAUCCGUGCACGCUUUCUCAGCUCAGCACACCUCGUCCCUAAAUGCUGGCGCAAUUUCCGGCAUUUGUUUGGCUGUUAUAUUCAUAUUUGUUGGUGCUGGGCUUACAGGGAUGAUUCUGUACCGAAGGCGCUACAUCAACAAACCUCAAACUCUCAGUGAACCAGAUUCAAGUGGAUACAUAGACGACAGUACAAUAAGAGAUAAUUCUGACGAAAUGUACAGCUUGGACAAUGAUUCCUUCCUGAAUUCUCUGGAGGCGAUGACAAUUCAAAAUUAUUGGACAGAUAAUGUGAAGCAUACAAAAUUGUAAAUCAUUCGAUCUUGAUACAUAUACGACAUGUGUAGUUUUAGAAACUCAAUGUUAGGAAAAAUGAUCUUAAUAUUCACCUAAUUGUUAGGAUUCAACGGAAUUAAGUACAAGUUGAUAACAUUAAAUUUUCUGUAGCCACCAUUAAUCAUUAUAAUUUAAGUUUAUUCCGCAGUGUACGCAAAGUAGAAUUUUUCGAGAAAUUGUGAUAAAUGUUUCCAUGAAGAUGUCAACAUCUUAUUAUAUUUAUAAAUAGAAUUACAUUCGCUAUAACCGUCCUCUACUUAUAAUUCACACUUCCAUGAACUUAAGCAGUUGUAGUAUAAGUUAUAAUUGUAAAAUGAAUAAAAUUAUAAAAAUAAAUGUGCAACAACCGUU